AGAUGUUCCUUUCUCUGACGUGUUCAGAAUCUGUUUUUCAUCGUUUCGUUCGGAGCGCUCGCUGUGGAAACUUUGCAGACACCAUGGGCGCUCGGCAGUCCGUCAUUCAUAUUACGAACAAGACUGAGGGCUACACCCUUCAAAACCCCAGUCUGCAUCUUGUUAGCGGACUCUGCCAAAUCCCUUUGCCAACAAAACUUGGGCCUUCUGAAUGUGGCAGCGCUCUGUUCUCUAAGACUGGCGGCACAGCGCGAGGAUCUGUUGGAGUCUUCACCUACGAUCUCUACGAUACAGCUGCAGACAGAGCUGAUAAGAAAAUAGCCGUCC
Molecule: long non-coding RNA, 327 nt
Organism: Astatotilapia calliptera (eastern happy)
Lineage: Eukaryota; Metazoa; Chordata; Actinopteri; Cichliformes; Cichlidae
Source: Ensembl